This 279-nucleotide ribosomal RNA is filed under the name uncultured bacterium. RNAcentral describes it as "partial 16S ribosomal RNA". It matches the Rfam family "Bacterial small subunit ribosomal RNA", at positions 506 to 784 of the family's 1533-position model. The record is from RNAcentral.
UGCCAGCCGCCGCGGUAAUACGGAGGGGGUUAGCGUUGUUCGGAAUUACUGGGCGUAAAGCGCGCGUAGGCGGACUAUUAAGUCGGAUGUGAAAGCCCCGGGCUCAACCUGGGAAUUGCAUUCGAUACUGGUUGACUAGAGUGUGGCAGAGGCAAGUGGAAUUCCCGGUGUAGCGGUGAAAUGCGUAGAUAUCGGGAGGAACAUCAGUGGCGAAGGCGACUUGCUGGGUCAACACUGACGCUGAGGUACGAAAGCGUGGGGAGCAAACAGGAUUAGAUA